UAGCAGAACGUGAUGGUGGUCAUGGUUUACGGUAAAAGUUCCUUCGAAAAGAGGGUUGAGGCCAUCUUCCUUGACAACCACACGGGCCCAACCGGCGCGUUCCCAGUUUCCUUCAGCAACUUGAAUCCAGGACCAACCCUUGAAUACCUUGUGAUCUUGUCGCUUUAUGGAUUCUGAUUUCUGGAUAUUUCCAGCCUGGUCCAGGAAGUGCACCUGGGCAUCGUCGGGAAGGAUAUCAUGAUUAGGCUCUAAGCUAAGUUUUAGCCGCUGCCGUCUCUUAUGGAGUUCGAACGUAAUAUCGAAAUGUGACAGUGCAUUCACUCGAUGGGAUGGAGUAUGGAUAGUAGGUUGUUCGACGAGGGAAAGAUAGCCGAUGUUACUCCGUCUUUCGGAAUGUGCUGGCCAGGGGAUGUAUCGUCAGCAUCGUAACUUUAUUCCCAAAACACAAAAUCCUGCGGGAACAAAGGGGACUUACCAUCAACGUUAGAAGUAAAAAUUGAGAGAGCACUGGUUAUCAAUGGAACCAAGCCACGGAAAAAUCGCAUAGCGAGAGAAGUUGGGCGCUACGACUCAAGGGCCGUGCGGAGAGAUGGUCAGAAAGCCGCUCUCUCAGCAACCCCGGAUCGAGGACAAAACCCACAAAAAAGAAAGAAAAAAGUAUACGAAAUAACAAAAAAAAUACGACAGUCGACCAAAACAACAGAUAUGAAAACCCUGAAAACGUGGAAUGAAACUGAUGCUGAUAUGUGAUGGAUCGUUGUUCCAAGCGGCUGAAAAAGUUCGAUGUCAAAGGGAGAUGGGAUGGGAUGAGAAGCGGCUCAAGAGCCAACAACAGGCGCAGCGCAGUAGGGCGGGGCAACCACGAAAAGAAGUGUAACUAACGCUUACUGCGUAGGCUGCUGGAGGAGGUGAGUGAGGCGAAACCCAGACAGUCAGCAUCCGGGAGGCACCCAGCAACUGCGUAUGGAUUAAUUUAUCUUCAAUUAUCAAUUUUUAUUAUUCGACUUGAUCCCCCCGACAAAAAGGAAAAGGGAAUAAUAAAACUACCAGCCAACCUGCGCCAGGUUAAGAGUGUGAUUCUGCCCCAAACCAGGUGUCGCAACUCCUUGCAGAACUGAACUGAGCAAAGUAGUUAUUGGUCGAAUUGGGACUAGAGUGAUGAUGGAAACGGCAGCCCAGAAUCAAUUUGAGUGGCUUGUACAGGCUACGCUAGAGUUAUUUAAGUCCUCCAAGCGUGGCGCAGUCAGUGAAUCUCGGACAGCGAAGAUCAAGAUCUUGGUCGGAUCAAGUGGAGCCAGAGACAGGUGAGUGCGACGCGAUUUGGAAUCAGUUACGAUCUGCCGGUGGAGGGAGAAAGGCAGCGAUAGAUGGCUCUUGAAAUUCAAUGAGAACGGGUGGAAACGAAGUGCCAGGGACUCAUUGUCCAGGAAGAUUGAAUAUUUUAUUGGGAAGUGGAAGAUGGAGGAGGAAAAAAAAGAACG
This 1481-nucleotide small RNA is filed under the name Histoplasma capsulatum var. duboisii H88. RNAcentral's name for it is "Histoplasma capsulatum H88 hypothetical RNA". The record is from RNAcentral. Lineage: Eukaryota; Fungi; Ascomycota; Eurotiomycetes; Onygenales; Ajellomycetaceae.